This is a long non-coding RNA of Hydractinia symbiolongicarpus, 485 nucleotides long. RefSeq lists it as uncharacterized. NCBI's taxonomy places the organism in Eukaryota, Metazoa, Cnidaria, Hydrozoa, Anthoathecata, Hydractiniidae. The record is from RefSeq and is a predicted model, not a curated record. The transcript has 2 exons.
UGUUCAGUCACGUGACUUUUUGCCGUGUUCGGAAAUUCAGCUUAAAACAAGCUCGCACACGGCAACGCGUAUUUUGUUAUUGCGCGUGAUGGCACUUAUUUUAAAUCGUCGAAUUCGGCACCUAUUUCGCUUAAGACAGAUGGUGUAUGGGCAGAUAGUGAUUGUUAAGUACCUUAAAUUUGUUUUUUUGAAUGAGACUUGUUUAAACGACCAACAGUGUAUUCAGAUUUCGACGAGGGAAAUGUAAACUUGGCGCAAACAGAGGAAAGUGCAUGACGUAUCAGUCUUGGAAUGAUGGCUAUUAAUCAUGGCUAUGUGCUAGAUAUUCCAGUUAACAUUAGACACAGCUACUAAACUAAAGCACCAAAGCUAGCUAGCUACCUAGCUAUAUAUAUAUUAGCCGAAGUAGUGGACCAGAAGAUGGAGUGUGUGAUGUUGUGUUUAAUUAUUCCAUACCACUGUGUGGUUAAUAGAUAAAGGUAUAU